Molecule: non-coding RNA, 45 nt
Filed under: Schistosoma curassoni
Lineage: Eukaryota; Metazoa; Platyhelminthes; Trematoda; Strigeidida; Schistosomatidae
Source: RNAcentral
AUCCAACUGACGAGUCCCAAAUAGGGCGGAACGUGCAUCCUGGAU